This 68-nucleotide transfer RNA is filed under the name Orthocoelium streptocoelium. Its description in RNAcentral is "tRNA-His". Lineage: Eukaryota; Metazoa; Platyhelminthes; Trematoda; Plagiorchiida; Paramphistomidae. The record is from RNAcentral.
CUUUUAUAGGUUAAGGUGUUAGAUCGUUAGUUUGUGGUAUUAGAGGUUUCCUGUGUGAGUAAAAGAAU